CGGCGGACGGGUGAGUAACACGUGGAUAACCUACCUAUAAGACUGGGAUAACUUCGGGAAACCGGAGCUAAUACCGGAUAAUAUAUUGAACCGCAUGGUUCAAUAGUGAAAGACGGUUUUGCUGUCACUUAUAGAUGGAUCCGCACCGCAUUAGCUAGUUGGUAAGGUAACGGCUUACCAAGGCAACGAUGCGUAGCCGACCUGAGAGGGUGAUCGGCCACACUGGAACUGAGACACGGUCCAG
Molecule: ribosomal RNA, 244 nt
Filed under: uncultured Staphylococcus sp.
Lineage: Bacteria; Bacillati; Bacillota; Bacilli; Caryophanales; Staphylococcaceae
Description: partial 16S ribosomal RNA
Rfam family: Bacterial small subunit ribosomal RNA
Source: RNAcentral